ACACAAAGGUAAUGAGGCUGCGGAUAGGCUGGCCCGGGAAGGAUCCAGAAAGAAGUGACUUCAUGUGCAGAUGGGCCAUUGCAGCAACGAGUGGUGUUCAUUUGUCUUGUCCCUUGGUCUAGUGGUAUAUACCAUCGUGUGCUGAGGUGCUCUUUGAUGUUUAAAUAGUGGCUGCAGUCCAUACGCAAAAUAAUUAUUGUAAAAAAUAUAUAGCUUGAGAGAAUAGCUCUAUUUUUUUUCGGUUGUUUGGUAUGUUCGGUAGAAUGCUAGUUCCUGAUGAAGCCCUUAGUACUUGGAACGAAACGUCGGGCAACACCAAAUGCGGCGCAACUAGAGACUUGUAAUAUUUUGAUGAAGCUUUAAAUUGUAAUUGAAAACUACACAAAUGGUCGUUGCUUGUAAGUGGAUUUUUUUGUUGGAAUAUGGCUUUAUGAAGGAAUGCAUUGUUGACCUUCAUACCCAACUGGGGGGGUAACUCAAUUUUAUGGUAAGAGUGGAACCUCCUUGUUGUUUCAAAUAAAUGUUGUUGCAUGUAAAA
Petromyzon marinus (sea lamprey) is the source of this 538-nucleotide non-coding RNA. NCBI's taxonomy places the organism in Eukaryota, Metazoa, Chordata, Hyperoartia, Petromyzontiformes, Petromyzontidae. The record is from RefSeq and is a predicted model, not a curated record.